AACCCCCCAAAAACCCCCAAACCCUGAAGGGAACGCAACGCAGCUCCACCACCGCCGCUCACCGCGCGAUGGAUCGCAACAGCCCCUGCCCACUCGAUAAGGAGUACUCCGAUCACAUCUCUGCUCUUCUAUCUCCUCCUCCGCCUCCUCAAUCCGUUCAGGAGUACUAUGAUGAAGUUAUAGAAGCUACAAAAUGUACUGGUGUAAGAGUAAGCUGCAGCAGCAGACAUGGAAAAGGUGUAUAUGCCAAUAGAGACUUCACCAAAGAUGAACUAAUUUUGAAGGAUCAAAUACUAGUCGGUGCACAACACAGUUCUAAUAAGGUUGAUUGUCUUGUAUGUAGCUACUGUUAUCGCUUUAUUGGUUCUAUAGAGCUCCAAAUUGGAAGAAGGUUAUACUUGCAGAGCCUAGGGUUGUCUACUAGCAAACAUUGUCAUGAUGAUACAGGAUCAAGUUCUUCUAUAAACAUGAAUGAGAAUUCACCUCCGGAAGAGGUGCUGAAAUCGCUUAUAAAUGGGAAUCUAUCAUUGCCUUACACCAGUCAAUUUGCUUUGCCUCCUGUUAUUGCUUGUCCUGGAGGGUGUGAGGAAGAACACUAUUGCAGUCAAUUUUGUGCAGAGUCUGACUGGACAUCAUAUCAUUCUCUCCUAUGUACUGGUUCUAACACGGGAGAAUCACGAAGGUCCGCGCUCCUUAAGUUUAUAGAUCAUGCUAACGGAACAAAUGACAUUUUUCUGGUUGCUGCUAAGGCAAUAUCUUUUACUAUUUUGAGGUACAAGAAAUUGAAAAGCUUGCAAGGCGUAGAAAAUGAACAACAUCCUACUCCUGAUAACUCCAACAAAUCAGAUUUUUCUUUGCUUUUGGAAGCAUGGAAGCCAGUCUCAAUGGGGUUCAAAAAAAGGUGGUGGGACUGCAUUGCUUUGCCGGAUGAUGUCGAUACCUGUGAUGAAGCAUCAUUUAGAAUGGAAAUACAAGACCUAGCAUUUAUAUCACUGCAGCUUCUCAAGGAUGCUAUCUUUGACAUUGAGUGUGCUCCAUUAUUUUCACUCGAGGUCUAUGGGAAUAUAAUUGGCAUGUUUGAACUGAAUAAUCUUGAUUUAGUUGUGGCAUCACCUGUUGAGGACUAUUUCAUAUAUAUAGAUGAUCUUUCACAGCGGGAAAAGGAAGAAGCUGAAAGAGUAACACAACCCUUCCUAGAGGCUUUAGGUGAUGAGUAUUCAGUUUCUUGUCAAGGGACUGCAUUCUUCCCAAUUCAGAGCUGUAUGAACCAUUCGUGCUGUCCAAAUGCCAAUGCUUUCAAAAGAGAUGAGGAUAAAGAUGGGCACGCCACAAUAAUUGCUCGCCAACCAAUCUCCGAAGGAGAGGAGAUAACGAUCUCAUAUAUUGAUGAGGAUCUUCCGUAUGAAGAGAGACAAGCACUUCUUGCUGAUUAUGGCUUCAGUUGCAUGUGUCCAAGAUGCCUGAAAGAGCAGCCCAAGUAACUGUUGCUUAGACUUCAAAAAGUUACAAAAGUAGCAGUUUGAAUUGAUUAAUCCUGAUUAAUCAAAGUGGUUAAAGCUCUCUCUGAGGUCCGAACCGGAUCCCCGUAUGGGGCGAACCACGUUGCGGCGCUCCUCCGCAAUGCCCAAAAUGCCCCGCACGCGAGGGGAGAUCUCGGGGCAUUCUCGUCAUUUCCCGCAAAAGAGUCGAAGGCGCCGCAACAUCGCACGUGCCGGCCCGCUGGACAAGCGUACGAGUAAUCUGGCCCGGCCCUUUCGAUUGCCGCAACAUGGAACGCCGGAUCCAACGGUUCUGGCUCCGAGUUGUUCUAUGCGGGCGUCCCUUCUUUGCUCUCCUAUGCGGCCACGCAAUUUUUUUUUUUUUUAAUUCAAUAUUCAGGUUUUUCGCUCGUUAUACUGUACCUCUAUUUUAGUAUAGUAAACCUACAUUAGUUUGAUGGGUUGUUUUGGAGAAACAAGAGUGAUGUUUGGUGCAAACUCCUCUCACUAGUAUAUAUAUUUUUUUAGUUUCUCCGCGAU
RNA transcript from Ananas comosus (pineapple), 2018 nucleotides. It is a transcript of the gene named histone-lysine N-methyltransferase ATXR2, with no coding region annotated. The record is from RefSeq and is a predicted model, not a curated record. The transcript is spliced from 16 exons. NCBI's taxonomy places the organism in Eukaryota, Viridiplantae, Streptophyta, Magnoliopsida, Poales, Bromeliaceae.